AAAACCUUAUCAAAAAAUCCUUCUUCUCCCAGACGCUAACCCACCAAAGAAAAACCCCAUUUUCUCUCCUCUUUCAAAUGGCCGAUCGUCUCGGUGUUUAAAGAAGGCCUUCUGCCUCUUCGAUAAGGACUGCGAUGGAAUUUGUGGUAUUCGCAAGUCGCCGAAAGAUGGAUUUGGAAGCUUCGAAUUCGCAAGUCGCUGAAAGAUGGAUUUGGAAGCUUCCAACCAUAGGGGAAUUGUAGACUUCAUUGGAAUCUACCUUGGCAUUAAAGACAUGGUUAGUAGGCACGGCAGACCUGUAUUGUCCUUACGCUAAGGGACAUCAGGUACUGAAUCAUAGCACGUGUUUCAGAUAACACAGGUAGCAUCGCGGCAGUCAUUUUCGACCAUGCCGGCAAACAACUUUUAGGUAAGACGUGAAGAGUUGGCUGCAACUAAAGACCCGAUGAAAACAUUGUACUUAGUAAUGGGGCAGACACCAAUGCACCAUCAAAAAGGCCUGGCAAAGGCAAUUUGACCGAUCAAAACUGAACUCACUGAAGAUGUCACUUUUGUCCACCUAAAAGAAGAAGCGAAGGCGGGAUGCAGCCUAAAAGUAGAAUCGCUAAAAGCAUACCUUACUUUAGAACUACUUGUAACUAAUUUGUAAACUGCAUACUAAUGCCAGCAGUGUGUAUGCCUAAACAUACUGUAUUUUGUAUGCUGUGUCUACAAACAGCACCGUGAUUAACUACUGAAAAGUCGUUAUUA
This 750-nucleotide long non-coding RNA is filed under the name Helianthus annuus (common sunflower). RNAcentral describes it as "hypothetical non coding rna". Lineage: Eukaryota; Viridiplantae; Streptophyta; Magnoliopsida; Asterales; Asteraceae. The record is from RNAcentral.